UUGCUAUCUGCGAUAUGGAAGAUUCGAACCUGCCGCAGGUUCGGGUCUCACGUAGUGAGACAACGGAGCCGCUUGUGGCGACGGCCCGAAGGGCGAGCAAAGCGAGUCAUCCUGCACGACCCACCA
RNAcentral lists this small RNA (126 nucleotides) under Salmonella enterica. RNAcentral describes it as "RtT sRNA". It matches the Rfam family "RtT RNA". Rfam says of the family: This family represents a bacterial cis-regulatory element known as RtT RNA. Lineage: Bacteria; Pseudomonadati; Pseudomonadota; Gammaproteobacteria; Enterobacterales; Enterobacteriaceae. RNAcentral also lists the same sequence under 1 other name. The record is from RNAcentral.